Molecule: long non-coding RNA, 844 nt
Filed under: Gossypium barbadense (sea-island cotton)
Lineage: Eukaryota; Viridiplantae; Streptophyta; Magnoliopsida; Malvales; Malvaceae
Description: long non-coding RNA (GBAR_LNC017900)
Source: RNAcentral
AGCAGUUAUUGUACCAGUGUUGAGGUUUAUAUCAGUUUUGGCAUAUCCAGGGCAAACAGAGUUGAUGCAGAAAUCUGGGUACUUGUUUGCCAGAAUCCUUGUAUAAGCAUUCAAUGCUACUUUUGAGACAGUAUAGGCAGAGAUGAAGGUUGGCCAUCCUUUACUUCCAUGUAAACCCUCCUUAAAAUCUUUUAGAUACUCAGUUAUUAAGUCAUUCAGUUUCUCCUCUGUUGUAACACCUGUUAACACUCCUUUAAGCUUUUCACCUUUACCCUGUAACAAAGAAACUUUUCCAUCAGCCAUUUUUGAAGCUUAUGAUCUGAAAUGGGAUUUUACAGGAACUCGGGAUUCUACCUUCAGCAUGACUAUAGAGGAGGAAACGUUUACGAUCCUUGGUAAGUCGGAUAGUUGCAGCAAUGGAAUAAGUGCUUCGGCAGUUCUUUUAGCGCCAUUGUAGUUUGUUUUUAGGCAUUCUUCGGCUAACUCGUAAUUGUCAUCAGUCGCUUUACUCCAUAUAUCACGCGAAUUUACCUACAUUUGUAACAAGCUAUCAUGACACAAUCCCAUCCAACUACGUCUUUGUUGUUUCUUCGAGUACCUAUAAAUCCAUCAAAGUUUUACCACUCUCAUAUGUACGAAGACGGGUUUUUACCACUCUCAUAUGCACGAAGACGGGUUUGAUUCCACUCCAUUAUUUUUUUAUCUAUUAAUAUUCAAUGCAUGUUUCAUAGUACAUUACAAAUUGAGAGGGAUGUCAUAGCCAAAACUUGAAUCCUAAACCUUUAAUGCCAACAUAGAGUUCUUAACCACCAUCUCCUUUUGAGUUAAAGAGAAAUAAUAAGAC